GGGGGGUGUAGCUCAGUGGUAGAGCGUG
RNAcentral lists this non-coding RNA (28 nucleotides) under Bos taurus (domestic cattle). RNAcentral also lists the same sequence under 1 other name. The record is from RNAcentral. Lineage: Eukaryota; Metazoa; Chordata; Mammalia; Artiodactyla; Bovidae.